UACGUAGGGGGCUAGCGUUGCUCGGAAUUACUGGGCGUAAAGGGCGCGUAGGCGGACAUUUAAGUCAGAGGUGAAAGCCCAGGGCUCAACCUUGGAAUUGCCUUUGAUACUGGAUGUCUUGAGUUCGGGAGAGGUGAGUGGAACUGCGAGUGUAGAGGUGAAAUUCGUAGAUAUUCGCAAGAACACCAGUGGCGAAGGCGGCAUCCUGGACCAACACUGACGCUGAGGAGCGAAAGCCAGGGGAGCAAACGGG
Molecule: ribosomal RNA, 253 nt
Filed under: uncultured bacterium
Lineage: Bacteria
Description: partial 16S ribosomal RNA
Rfam family: Bacterial small subunit ribosomal RNA
Source: RNAcentral